GUAAAUUUGUACUCUCUACUUUUGUCUUUCUUUUUCUAGAAAAAGAGAAAAUAUAAUGUACUUACUGUUCUUUUAAUUAUCCUCAUUUCUUUAGCUUAUGGACAAUUUCAACUCAGCAGAAGAGAGGAGGAGGAGGAAGAAGAGAUAUCUCAUCCUGUCACUGCCAUUCUUCGGAGAUAAUGCGGUUAAGGUUCUUUGAACAGCAUUCAUGGUUGCAUGUAUCAAGUUGAUACCAGGAUGAGAAUUGGACUUGUGGUUCUCCUCAUUUUCCUCUCUUCUUCUUUGCCUCCUCUGCAGUAUCCUUGUCCUUCCCUUGGUCUCUCCCAACCCCUUCCUAGCCUUUGUCCACCUCCUCCUCCUUGCUCCUGUUGCACCUUCUACUCAUCCUUUUCCUUUUUCACGUCCUCCUCUACUUCCAUUUCUUUCUCCACUAUUAUCUUUUUUCUUCUUUUAAAAAUCUUCUUAAUAAUGACAAGUUAUCCAGUCUUUACUGAGAUAUCUCCUGGAUGGUAAGGUAUGAUGGACAGGUUUCUAGGCUCAAGAAAUGAGGUAAUGAGAGUCAGCUUCCAGCUACUCAGUUUUCACUUAGUGAAAAGAUGUGGUGGGGUUUGGAGUUCAGAACUUCAAACAUUUCUAGUAAAUUACCAUACUUGCCAUAGUGCUGUGUCCCUUUUAAGAUCAAGGACAAAUUGGAAGAAAAGACCUAGUUGAAGUUUCAACUCAGUUUCAUUCCAUUGUCUCUUUUAUGAGUCCUUUUUAUCCUUUUAAUUUAAUCCUGUCCUAUCAUUAAUACCCCAAUUGCAAAACAAUGAACUUGUACUACUUAAGUACAAGAGUAAAUAUUUGUAGUAGCUUUAGGCUGAAAACAUGACUGUGUCUUCUAUUAUACCCAUUAUAAACUGCCAACCCACCUGUGAUUUUUUGGCUUCAGCUGCUUUGGAGAUUAUUAGUCUUUGUGAGUAGUGAGCUCUGCUUGUGUAUUUUCCAUCAUGCAAUGUAAAUACUUCUUAUUAUCUUAAGGACAGAAAUCUGUAUUUACUUUUCAUUUGUAUUUGAUAGAAUAGAUAUUUCCCAGGAUAAUGGACUGUCUGCUUAUGGUUCUGCCCCCCCACAUGGAGAAGGCAAAGUUAAAUUUUGCUUGAGUACCCCUUGAUUCUUAGAAGCAUUGUACCUAGCUCUGAUAGCCUUCUCCAGUUUAAACAUAGGAGAAAUUUGGGUAAAAGGGCUAUCAUUGUAAUUUAAAUGAAAAUUGUGCUUUGUGCAUUAACCUAACGUUCUAUUCUUCUUAAGAAAGCACUUCCCCUUCUCCAUCCCCAUCCCUAUUCUGUACAAAGAAUCAAACUCCUUUCAUUCCCCAGUAAGGUUUGGAAUAUGGAACGGACCAUGCUUGACAGAUAAUCCAGCUUCAAGGUUUACUGCUGACUUGGCUGGAAACUCGACAGAUCCAGAACGUUAUACAACAGGUUUGGUGAUGUAUGGAUGUUAGAAGAAUUGGGCAGAUGAAUAGUUUCAACUUCAUGUGGGCCUUUGUUUAGAUGUUUUUCAGCAGCACCUAAUCUGAAUUCAGUACCCAGCCAAGUCUGAGGGUGCUACAAUUGUAAGAAGUUUCUGGAUGAAGGGCUCAUUUGGUUGGAACAUGGUGCUAAUGAGCUCUAGAUCCUAGGCUCUAACCCAUGUGCAGCCAUUUAGCUCUGUGGGUUCGGGCAUGGUGCUAAAGAACUGUGGUCACAUGGUUUCUAAACCGCAUGUGUGUCCUUUUACAUAGACUGCACCACUCACCCUAGGAAGCCUUUUUCUGAACAAAGGUUAUCACCCACCUGGAAGGCCCAGCAAAACUGUUGUGUAAAUAUUAUUUCAAAAUCUGUUUUCAAUUCUGGAGACAACAGUUUAUAGUAUAUCCCUUACUGGCUGUGUGUUAGCAGUGUCACAUUACUAGAAAGACAUCACUUUUGAAAUUUCCAAAUGAACAGAGAGUGUACCAGAAGUGACAGACAAGAGAAAUUGCUAGAUUCUCCCCAUUGACAAAUUCAAAUGCAUAUAUUACAUGUGUUAAAUGCCAAGAAACUGUAUCUUGGUACAAAUUAGGACAUUUGGAGAAAUGCUUUAGUAAGAGCAAGAUCUACAUGUAGGCUGUCUGAUAUUUAACCUUAAAAGGACAAUUUUUGAGUGGGGGGAUUCCUCUUGUGUCCUAGAUAUCCUGGAUGAUGGUAAUCAUGUUUUUGUCACUGUACAUGUGAUAUAUUCUUUCUCAUGUGUUUUGAUCUGACAAUCUCUUUCACUGUAAAUUCCUGUAUAUCUUCUAAGUUAAGGUAUCUUUCCACACUAUUGCACAAAGUUCUACAAAUGCAUAUAUAUAUAUAUAUAUACUAACAUAAAUAUGUAAGUGCACACAUACACCAACACACACAGUAUAGCAUGUUAGCACAGUAAGCUGUCACAACUUCGUUGUUUCUAAAGACUCUCAACAUCUCUAGACUCUGAGGCAAAGGUUCACAGAUGGACACACUAUUGUCAUCUGGUGCACAUUGGGAAAGAAAGGAAAAAUACCUGGGAUAAACCAUCUGAGAGUAAAAUGAAGUUGUUUAUUCUAAUGCUUCUUAUUCACAGACUUUUAUGUGUCUAUUUCAAACUUAUUCCCCUUGUAUCAGUGAUAGUGCUAUAUCGUGUAUGUGAUUAUGACUUUGUAUUCUAAUUCUUGAAGUAAGAUCUUAUGAUAGUUAUCAGUAAGUGUUCAUUUUCAAGAUUUCAUUCCAUAUUGCACAACUAAAGAUGGUUGGGGGAUUAUAUAAAGUUUCAGCUUUGAAUAUGGACUUCCUGCAAACAUUUAGAGUAAGCUCCAUACUAAAGGAAAGAAGAGCCUUAUCUGUCUUCUCAAGGUGCACAUGGAGGAAACAGUGUAGAUUACCCUGGUGAAAAUUUCCUGACAUAAUAUAGUCAGGCCCCAGUAAAAGUGUCUGUGUUCAGAUUUAUGAAAAUGCAUUUAUGUUAAUUGGAUUAGUUGAAAUGUAGCAUCUGGAAUGAAUUUCUUGUUCUUUUGUGAUGAGACCUGCCAGUUUAUUUUUAUAGAAAGAUCAUAGAAGGCACCAAAUAGAGAGAUACUGUGGCUCAUGGCUUUUGAUUUGUAGGGUUUUAUAGGUGGCAAGUCUGUAUUAAAAGUGGGGAAACUGAAUAGUGUACCUGUAACUAUAGACAAGAGGCUGCCAAUGCUUUUGCACCUGCAACUUCAUUCAGAAGAAAGUUUGUGUAAAAAUCCCCCAGAAUAAGAAAAUUUAAACAUAAAAAAUAGAAAUGAAAAGCAUCUAUAGAGUAGUUAGUGAAAUUUCAUCCAUCACCUUGAUGUGCAACCCCCCUCCCCCAUGGAAUGGAACUGAACUUUAUUAUACCUUAAUGCUUUCAGCUUUUCAGCUUUGCUCACAAGCUCUUUGGAAGUAUGGACUAUAUCCUAGGCAGUGUACAUAGGCACAUGCAACACUUGCUCUUUGAUUCAAGCCUACUAGUGAUACUGACUGUAUGGAACUGAAGCCUUCUGGGAGAAAGACUGAUGCUGUCAAAUUCUACUCAAAUGACAGAAGAAAUAAGGCUCCCUGAAGUGAUAUUGAUGAAUUACCCCUUCACAAAGGGAAAGAAAGAAAUCGUACCGUUCUACAACAGGAGAAUGAACAUUAUUCCUAUCAAUGUGCUUGUUACUUACUUACUUGUAGCUGUUGCUUUAAAUGCUAUCUACUAAUGUUGUUAUUUCUCUCUACUCUAAUUUAAUGUUUGACUAUGUACCCUAUAUCAGUGAGAGGAGGUGUCAAAGGGAAAGGGGAUAAUGUUGUUGCAGGGGCAUGUAAGUAGUAGUAGAUUAAAACAUAUAUAUUUACAUAAAUAUAUACUAAAUAAAGCUAUUCGUUCAAAG
RNAcentral lists this long non-coding RNA (3898 nucleotides) under Cricetulus griseus (Chinese hamster). RNAcentral's name for it is "lncRNA (ENSCGRG00015039690.1)". Lineage: Eukaryota; Metazoa; Chordata; Mammalia; Rodentia; Cricetidae. The record is from RNAcentral.